GAGGGUAUAGCCCAGUGGUAGAGCAUUUGUCUAGCAUGCACCAGGUCCUGGGUUCAAUCCCCAGUACCUCCA
This 72-nucleotide transfer RNA is filed under the name Camelus bactrianus (Bactrian camel). It matches the Rfam family "tRNA". Rfam says of the family: Transfer RNA (tRNA) molecules are approximately 80 nucleotides in length. Lineage: Eukaryota; Metazoa; Chordata; Mammalia; Artiodactyla; Camelidae. The record is from Rfam by way of RNAcentral. RNAcentral also lists the same sequence under 1 other name.